ACGUAGGGGGCAAGCGUUAUCCGGAAUUACUGGGCGUAAAGAGCGCGUAGGCGGAUUUAUAAGCGUGAAGUGAAAGGCGAUAGCUUAACUAUAGUAAGCCUUGAGAACUGGAAGACUUGAGUGAAGGAGAGGAAAGUGGAAUUCCUAGUGUAGCGGUGAAAUGCGUAGAUAUCAGGAGGAACACCAGUGGCGAAGGCGACUUUCUGGAAUAUAACUGACGCUGAGGCGCGAAAGCGUGGGGAGCAAACAG
Molecule: ribosomal RNA, 250 nt
Filed under: uncultured prokaryote
Description: partial 16S rRNA
Rfam family: Bacterial small subunit ribosomal RNA
Source: RNAcentral